Glycine soja is the source of this 155-nucleotide long non-coding RNA. RefSeq lists it as uncharacterized. NCBI's taxonomy places the organism in Eukaryota, Viridiplantae, Streptophyta, Magnoliopsida, Fabales, Fabaceae. The record is from RefSeq and is a predicted model, not a curated record. The transcript has 2 exons.
UAAGGAUAAGGAAUCUGAGUUCUCAAUGUUAGUUGAUCGUGCCACUGGUGGAGCCAGCAUCAAAGAUGGUGAGGUGGAAUUGAUGCUUCAUAGGCGUAUUCUCCAUGAUGAUAGUCGAGGUGUUGGGGAACCACUUGAUGAACAAGUUUGCGUGA